This 2454-nucleotide ribosomal RNA is filed under the name Triticum aestivum (bread wheat). RNAcentral's name for it is "partial small subunit ribosomal RNA". The record is from RNAcentral. Lineage: Eukaryota; Viridiplantae; Streptophyta; Magnoliopsida; Poales; Poaceae.
AUGGCUUCUCUCCCGGCCAUCUUCAUCCUCAUGCUCCUGGUUCGUUCCUGCAACUCCGAUGACCGCCUAAGACCCACUAAGCCACUCUCGCCCGGCGACGAGCUCAUCUCCAGCAAUGGCCUCUUCGCCCUUGGCUUCUUCUCCCUGCAAGGCUCCGCCGCCAACACAUAUUUAGGCAUAUGGUACCACAACAUCUCUGAGCGAACAUAUGUGUGGGUGGCCAACCGCGACAGCCCGAUCAAGAGCAGUUUGCCCGGGAAGCUGGUCGUGAGCAACACCUCUGACCUCGUCUUGUCCGACUCCGACGGCCGUGUCCUCUGGGCGACGAAGACGAACAACGUCACCACCACCGGAUCAGGAUCAGGUGGCGGAGCCACCGGUGCAGGGGCGGUGCUGCUCGACACCGGAAACUUUGUUCUCCGGUCGCGGAACGGCACGGAGAUAUGGCAGAGCUACGAUGAGCCGACCGACACCUUUCUCCCGGGAUUCAAGCUGUGGGUGAACUACAAGACCCACGUAGCAGCGCGCAUCGUGGCGUGGAAGGGCCCCGACGACCCGUCCACGGGCGAGUUCGUCUUGAGCGGCGACACCAGCACGGGCCUUCAGAUCCUGACGUGGCGAGGGUCGACUCUCUACUGGCGCGCCGGGGUGUGGAACGGCGCCACGGCCGCCAGCUUCACCAAAUCCUUCUUGUCCCAGAUGAUCGACGACGGAGAGGUGGCCUACUUCACUUACAACAGAGCCGACGACUCGGCCCCGGCGAGGUCGCACUGGAAGCUCGACCACACGGGCGAGGUGAUGUUCAGGGUGUGGGUCGAGGGGUCGUCAUCGUCGUGGGUGCCCCUGUUCGAGCGGCCGGGCAAGGGGUGCCUCGUCUACGGCGCGUGCGGGCCGUUCGGCUACUGCGACGUCAAAGGGGACGUCCGGGAGUGCAGGUGCCUCGACGGGUUUGAGCCGGCGGACGGCGGCGGCGGCUCCUCGAAAGCAGGGUGCGUGAGGAAGGAGGCGGUGAGAUGCGGCGGCAACAACUACUUCCUGACCUUGCCGGCGAUGAAGCUGCCCGACAAGUUCGUCUACUUGACCAACAGGAGCUUCGAGGAGUGCGCUGCGGGCUGCGACCGCAACUGCUCCUGCACGGGGUAUGCUUACACCAACGCGAGCGACAUCCUCCUGGCAUCCAAGUGCUUCCAUUGGACAGGAGACCUUGUCGACAUGGUGAAAGCUGACUAUACAAGUGACCACCUGUAUCUUCGGUUGGCCGGCAACGGGGACAAUUAUGCAAGAACCAACAACAAGAUCAACGGUGUCCAUGUGGUAUUUAAGAUUGUACUCCCACUUAUAGCAUUCUUGCUGAUACUCACAUGCAUAUAUAUUUUCUGUAUAUGCAAACCCAGAGGCAUACAUCAAAACAAUGGAGCCCUGCAGGUACACCUGAGACCUUCACAAGAAGUCUGGGAUCAAAGUUUAGAAUUUUCGCGGAUAACGUUCGAAGACAUUGCUGCUGCAACGAAUAGUUUCCAUGAAACCAACAUGCUUGGAAGAGGAGGUUUUGGGAAAGUGUAUAAGGGAAUACUGCAAGAUGGCAAGGAAGUUGCUAUUAAAAGGCUUAGCAAGGGAUCUGAGCAGGGAAUAGAGCAUUUCAGAAAUGAAGUUGUUCUUAUUGCCAAACUGCAGCACAAGAAUCUUGUUAGACUCCUUGGAUAUUGUAUUCAUGAGGAUGAGAAGUUGCUUAUAUACGAAUACCUACCCAACAAAAGUCUAGACAAAUUCCUUUUUGAUAAUGCAAGAAAAUCUACACUCAAUUGGCCAAGAAGAUUUAGCAUAAUCAAAGGGGUAGCUAGAGGAUUACUAUAUCUACACCAAGAUUCGAGAAUGACGAUAAUUCAUCGAGACCUCAAGCCGAGCAACAUCCUGCUAGACUCGGAGAUGAACGCAAAGAUAGCAGAUUUUGGAAUGGCAAGGAUCUUUGGAGGCAAUGAGCAACACGAGCGUACCAAACAUGUAGUUGGGACAUAUGGUUACAUGUCACCUGAAUAUGCGAUGGAGGGAAUCUUUUCAUUGAAGUCUGACACCUACAGCUUUGGUAUUUUCCUGCUGGAGAUUGUAAGUGGAUUAAAGAUCAGCUCACCUCAUCAUCUUGUAAUGGAUUUCCGGAAUCUCAUAGCAUAUGCAUGGAACCUAUGGAAAGAUGGAAAAUCAAUGGAUUUCAUGGAUGCAACACUCAUGGAGAGCUACUCCCCUGAUGAAGUGUCAAAGUGUAUCCACAUUGGAUUGAUGUGUGUGCAAGAUAGCCCCAAUGCUAGGCCACACAUGUCAUCGGUUGUGUCCAUGUUGGAUAACGAAGCCAUGCCUCGCGCAGUGCCGAAGCAACCUAUGUAUUUUGCACAGAGAACAGUUGAAGGCUUGGAAAUGUCUACCAAUGGUGCUAGCCUGACAACGCUAGAUGGUCGCUGA